GAGGUCUACUAAAGGUCUACAUCAGGAUCAGCUUCCUCUGUGGGUCUGCAACAGCAUCCACAGAGGAAGCUGAGCGUGAUGUAGACCUUUAGUAGACCUCA
This is a non-coding RNA of Podarcis lilfordi (Lilford's wall lizard), 101 nucleotides long. Lineage: Eukaryota; Metazoa; Chordata; Lepidosauria; Squamata; Lacertidae. The record is from the annotation of a GenBank genome assembly.